Molecule: ribosomal RNA, 383 nt
Filed under: uncultured cyanobacterium
Lineage: Bacteria; Bacillati; Cyanobacteriota
Description: bacterial SSU rRNA
Rfam family: Bacterial small subunit ribosomal RNA
Source: RNAcentral
ACAGGUGGUGCAUGGCUGUCGUCAGCUCGUGUCGUGAGAUGUUGGGUUAAGUCCCGCAACGAGCGCAACCCACGUUUUUAGUUGCCAGCAUUUAGUUGGGCACUCUAGAAAGACCGCCGGUGAUAAACCGGAGGAAGGUGUGGAUGACGUCAAGUCAUCAUGCCCCUUACACCCUGGGCUACACACGUACUACAAUGCUACGGACAAAGGGCAGCAAACUCGCGAGAGCUAGCAAAUCCCAUAAACCGUGGCUCAGUUCAGAUCGUAGGUUGCAACUUGCCUACCUGAAGUUGGAAUCGCUAGUAAUUGCAGGUCAGCAUACUGCGGUGAAUACGUUCCCGGGCCUUGUACACACCGCCCGUCACACCAUGGAAGUUGGCAUG